UUUCACCUUCAAAAUACUAGUUUUCUCCAAAGCUCCAUUUUAAUUUUAGCAGCUUUAGUACUCCUAAUCAUCAUCAUAUUUCAGACCAAGAAUGGAGGAAAAUUUGAAAACUGCAGCUCAAAAUGGAGACAUCAACAUGAUUUACAAAUUACUUGGGGAGGAUCCAUAUGUUCUGGAUAGCAUCGAUGAUGUUCCAUAUAUUGAUACGCCUUUGCAUAUAGCAGCUUCUUUUGGUCAUGUUCAGUUUGUGAGGGAGAUUAUGAGAUUGAAACCAUCAUUUGCUCGGAAACUAAACCAAGAUGGGUUUAGCCCCAUGCAUUUGGCCUUGCAGAAUGGUCAAACCAAGAUGGUUCUUGGAUUUCUAAACUAUGAAAGCGAUCUUGUUCAGGUUCAAGGGAGAGAGGGUAAAACUUCUCUUCAUUAUGUAGCUGAACAAGGAGAUGUUGAUCUCUUGACUAAAUUCUUAUCAGCUUGCCCUCAGAGUAUCCAAAAUGUGACCAUUCAAAAUGAGACUGCUUUGCAUAUUGCAGUGAAGAAUCACAAGGUUGAUACUCUUGAUUUCUUGCUUGGAGGACUACGUUGAGCAUACCAUCAAGGUUCUCACAUCCAAGAGAGAAUAAUCAUAAACUGGAAGGAUGAUGAAGGGAACACUGUGCUCCACUUGGCAACCGCUCUGAAUCAACCACAGGCAGUGAGAUUGCUAAUAAAUUGUAAUAUUGAAGUAAAUGUCAAGAACUCAAUGGGUUUGACUGCUCUAGAUAUCUCAGAUCCUAACAGCGGACAAGUUAGAGAAACUCUACUCAAAGCUGGAGCUUUAAAUGCUCAAUCACUUCCCCAAGUUUCCAACAACUCCAGAGAUCGUCUGAGAUCAAAUUUGUCAUCCAAUGAAGGUGCUGUAACAUCUCUUACUCGUAGUAGAAAUAAUGUAAGUAAUGAUACACGCAAUGUGUUCCUAGUAGUUGCAACGCUGAUUGUUACGGCGACAUUCUAGGCUGCACUAACUCCCCCUGCAAGUAUUUGGCUAGACUGCAACAACGACAAUAACAAUAACAACAAUGUUCUGAACAUAACUCUAGUUAACACUACAAGUAGAAUUAAUACUACUGAAAUUUAGAUCAAUAAAAAUGAAGUAAGUUCAAAAGCACACCAACUAUGGACACUAACGAAGGCAGGUUUAAAUAAAUUUUACAUGCUAUUAAACGGCGUAACGUUUUUUGGUACCAUAACGAUUAUCUAUUUCCUUUUCCCUACUGGGAAAAUAAAGGACCUGCUGUUCUUCCCUAUACUUAGUUUUGUGAUGUGCUAUAUAUAUUCUUGGGUAAUCCCUUGUCCCAACAAAAUCAUUUUUCCUUUGUCAAUUUUGCUGCUAUAUUUAUUAUAUCAUAUUUGGAUGAUGGGGAAGCUUAUAACCAUCAAAAUUUUUCUAAAAAGUCUUAAGCCAGAUUCUGUGAGAGAUCGUUAAAAUGAUUAGUGAGUGCUAUUGUAUUAUCUGUUUUUUGGUCCCAAUGUAUGUACGAGGUAGGAACCACAGAAUGUUGUGCUGGAACCACAGAAUGUUGUGCUGGAACCACAGAAUGUUGUGCCGUGUAUUCCUAAUGAUAUGAUCAAAUGUUGUAUUCUAUGGAAUAUUUUGGAAUGGAAAUUUUAUUUAUUUGGCUACUGAGAAUGGGGACAUCAACAUGAUUUACAUUUCACUUUCGGAGGAUCCAUAUCUCCUGGAUCAUAUCGAUCAUGUUCUAUUUAUUCAUACUCCUUUGCAUAUAGCAGCUUCUUCCUGUCCCGUUCAGUUUGUAAAGGAGAUAAUGAGAUUGUAUCCGUCAUUUGCUCGGAAACUAAAUCAAGAAGGGUUCAGCCCCAUGCAUGCAGCAUUGCACGAUGGUCAAACCAAAGUGGUUCUUGGAUUUCUAGACACUGAAAGUGAACUUGUUCUGGUUCAAGGCAGGGAAGGUAGAACUCCUCUCCAAUAUGUGGCUGAACAAGGAGAUGUUGAUCUCUUGAUUAAGUUAUCAUCAGAUUGCCCUUAAAGUAUCCAAGAUAAGACCAUUCAAAAUGAGACUGCUUUGCAUAUUGCAGUGAAAAAUCACAAGGUUGACACUCUUGAUUUCUUACUUUGAGAACUGCAAGAGCCUACCAUGAAGGUUCUGACAUCCAUGAGAGAAAAAUCAUAAACUGGAAGGAUGAUGAUGGGAACACUGUGCUCCACGUUGCAACCACUAAGAAUCAGCCCCAAGGAGUGACAUUCCAAGAACUCAAGAGGUUGCGUCACUGAUUGAACUCAAGAGGUAGUGAGCAUCCAAUUAAUAGUAUAUUGAAGUUAAUGUCAAGAACUCAAAGGUAUGAUUGCUCCAGAUAUUUCAAAUCCAAACAACAGACAAGUUAGGGAAACUCUACUUCAUGCCCAUGCUUUAGAUGCUCUUGGAGGAGCUUGGCAGGACGACAAUAACAAUACCUCGACCAACAACACUCUUAACAUAACUCUUCUCAUCACAACUAGCAAUCUUAAUAAUACCACAACAAUCUCAGAACCACACCAAGUAGGGAUGGUAACCAUGUCGAGUCACUCUGUACAUGUUUUCUUUGUCAUUAACAUCAUAACGCUACCUACUACUACACUGGUUAUCUAUUUCCUAAUCCCUAGAGAAGAAAUGAGUUGGCUGAUGAGAAUCCCUAUCCAUUUUUUCACCAUCUGCUAUAUGUUUUCUUGGCUAAUCAUAUCUCCUGAUACUACAAUAUUUGUUAUUGUAUUUUUUGGCACCGAUAUACCCAACAGGUUUAUUUGGUUACUCCAGCAAAUCCUUUAUUCUGGGGAAGUUAAUAAAAUCUGGAGACAGAUUCAGCGAGAUAGUUAAAAUGGGAGAAACCCGAGAAUGUAGGAUUAGUGUAUGGGAAUGGCUUCUUUUUUUUUAUGUGAAAAAAUAUAGGGCCUUGUAUCCAAAUAUAAGCACAAUUGUAAAUGGCCUAGCAGAAUACGUGUAUAUCAUCAUGUAAAUGGCCUAUCUUUUUCUAAUCUUAGGCGAGUAUAGAAAUUCAGGUUUAGGAUGAUUUUGCUUGUUGACUAUCUCUUGAAGGACAGUAAUCCCUUUGUUAAGAUACGCUAUUUUAAACUGAAUCAAGCCACUAAAAUAUACAUCAUUUGUUGGAUCUUUAGCAGUGAGAUUGUUAAUAAAUAAUAAAAGUGAAGUAAAUGUGAAGAACUCAGUGGAUUUGACUGCUCUAAAUAUCUCACAUCUUAGCAGCAGAUAAGUUAGAAAAACUCUACUUAGAGCUGGAGCUUUAGAUGCUCAAUCAGUUCCCAAGUUUCCAACAACUCCAUAGGUCAUCUAUGAUCCAAUCUAUCAUUCAAAGAAGAAUUUGUAAUAUCUUUUGCUCAUUUCAAAAACAAUACAAGGAAUGAUACUUGAAAUCUAUUACUAGUAGUUGCAGCGCUGGUUGUAAAGGCUAGU
Molecule: long non-coding RNA, 3443 nt
Organism: Ziziphus jujuba (common jujube)
Lineage: Eukaryota; Viridiplantae; Streptophyta; Magnoliopsida; Rosales; Rhamnaceae
Exons: 3
Source: RefSeq, a predicted model, not a curated record